This 410-nucleotide ribosomal RNA is filed under the name uncultured microorganism. RNAcentral describes it as "bacterial SSU rRNA". It matches the Rfam family "Bacterial small subunit ribosomal RNA", at positions 509 to 917 of the family's 1533-position model. The record is from RNAcentral.
CAGCCGCCGCGGUAAUACGUAGGGUGCGAGCGUUAAUCGGAUUUACUGGGCGUAAAGCGUGCGCAGGCGGCCCGUUAAGACAGGUGUGAAAUCCCUGGGCUCAACCUAGGAAUUGCGCUUGUGACUGGCGGGCUCGAGUACGGUAGAGGGGGGUGGAAUUCCUGGUGUAGCAGUGAAAUGCGUAGAGAUCAGGAGGAACACCGAUGGCGAAGGCAGCCCCCUGGGCCUGUACUGACGCUCAUGCACGAAAGCGUGGGGAGCAAACAGGAUUAGAUACCCUGGUAGUCCACGCCCUAAACGAUGGGUACUAGCCAUUUGGUGCGCGAUAGCGCUGAGUGGCGAAGCUAACGCGUGAAGUACCCCGCCUGGGGAGUACGGCCGCAAGGUUGAAACUUAAAGGAAUUGGCGGG